Molecule: ribosomal RNA, 480 nt
Filed under: uncultured archaeon
Lineage: Archaea
Description: bacterial SSU rRNA
Rfam family: Archaeal small subunit ribosomal RNA
Source: RNAcentral
CAAGAUACCUGGAAUGGUUUUUGAUUAAAAUCUAUAUGGCCUUUGGAUUGGACUGCGACCGAUCAGGCUGUUGGUGAGGUAAUGGCCCACCAAGCCUGUAACCGGUACGGGCUCUGAGAGGAGGAGCCCGGAGAUGGGUACUGAGACAAGGACCCAGGCCCUAUGGGGCGCAGCAGGCGCGAAACCUCUGCAAUGGGCGAAAGCCUGACAGGGUUAUUCUGAGUGACUUUCGCUAAGAAAGUCUUUUGACACCUCUAAAAAUGGUGUAGAAUAAGGGGUGGGCAAGUCUGGUGUCAGCCGCCGCGGUAAUACCAGCACCCCGAGUGGUCGGGACGAUUAUUGGGCCUAAAGCAUCCGUAGCCGGUUUUACAAGUCCUCCGUUAAAUCCAACUGCUUAACAGAUGGGCCGCGGAGGAUACUAUAAGACUAGGAGGCAGGAGAGGCAAGCGGUACUCAGUGGGUAGGGGUAAAAUCCGUUGA